Molecule: long non-coding RNA, 1041 nt
Organism: Aegilops tauschii subsp. strangulata
Lineage: Eukaryota; Viridiplantae; Streptophyta; Magnoliopsida; Poales; Poaceae
Source: RefSeq, a predicted model, not a curated record
UGUCCACUGCCUCCACAUGCCAAGCGACCAGAUAAAAAAACUCUCUCACACAAAUCUCACCCCGGCCGUACCCCUGGCUCUCGGUCGAACUCCUCUCCCCCACGAUCUCGUCGCCGCUGCUACCACCCAUGCCGGCCGGUUCCGGCGAUCUCCGGCCGCACGCAACAUGCCCCCAAGCUCCGCCCCGCCCUCCCCUCCGUCCAGAUCCAUGCCUCAAGGUCAACACCCUUGCUCGCGGCUAGGGAUUCGGGCGCCCCCGUGUUCUUGCCGCCGAGUGCCCAGGUCGGCCCGCUGGCCAACGAGCAGCACCCCGCACCUGCACGUGCCCAGGCCGACGAGCAGUACGGGGAUUGGCCGCGGACGGAGACGAGUGCAGGCGCGGCAGCAGGAGAAUCUGUGGCGGCAACGGAUCUGAUGACCGCCGGGCCGGCUCGUCGUUCGUGGCCGGCCGGUGUCGCAGUGAGGCGCUGCCGUCCGUGGAUUCCGGUGGCUGGCUGACGGCCAAUUGCUCUUGGACGCCGCUGCAGCUGCUCGUUUCUGAAUUUUCAGUAAUGCGGCUAGCAGUCCGCGCGAUUGUGAUUCUCGUGUCGCUGAUAGCUUGGAGCAGUCGGUUCCGGUCCGUCUACUACUCGUGACUGGGAAGGAAGCAUCAUGUCGCUGAUAGUUCAGUAGGGAACACAUGGACAUGAAGCUACGACGGCGACGAAGACGAUAUCGACAUGGGGCUGCGGCGACGAUGAUGGCGACGACAUCGACAUCGACAUCGACACAGGCUACGGCGGCGACGAAGACGACGACAUCGUCAUCGCGCUGUGGCGGCGGCGACGAUGACGACAUCAACACCAUCAACACGGCCUUGUGGAGGCGCCGACGCCGACGACAUCAACACGGCCUUGUGGAGGCGCCGACGUCGACGACAUAGACGCGUGGCAUAUAUUGUGUGCGUGUGCGUGUGUUAAUUAUCUACAUCAGAUAUGUAUGAUUGAUGAUUGACUGUAUGCAUAACAUGUAUGUAUUGUGAAAUGCAUGCCUAAACUGAAA